This 157-nucleotide ribosomal RNA is filed under the name uncultured bacterium. RNAcentral's name for it is "partial 16S ribosomal RNA". The record is from RNAcentral.
CAAUUAGCAUCAUCAGAGGCGAAGUCUGAUGCAGCAUGCCGCGUGAGUGAUGAAGGCCUUUGGGUUGUAAAGCUCUUUCACUUUGGAAGAAAAUAUCUGUACCUAUCUAAAAUGGACCGGACCUUUUCAUGCCAGCCCCCCCGGUACUAUAAUAUGG